This 1207-nucleotide ribosomal RNA is filed under the name Ornithodoros porcinus. RNAcentral's name for it is "16S rRNA". The stretch from base 783 to 1126 matches the Rfam family "Archaeal large subunit ribosomal RNA", at positions 2151 to 2715 of the family's 2987-position model. Lineage: Eukaryota; Metazoa; Arthropoda; Arachnida; Ixodida; Argasidae. The record is from RNAcentral.
GAAGAAAUUAAUUGUUUGUAAUUUUAUUAGGAAUUUAAAUUUUGUAAUUGGAAAGAGAAUUUUAGUUGACGAUAGUGUACAGUACUGUGAGGGAAUUUGAGUAGUUUUAGAAGAAGUAGAGAGUUUUGUACCUUUUGUAUUAGGGUUUAACUAAAAUUAAAAGGUUUUUUUUGUCCCGAAUAAUCUUGAGCUAUAGAAAGUAGUUUUAAUCAUUUUAAGGAUUAAAAGAAUUUUUUUAUAGAAAUGAAAUUUUAUUCGAAAGAUUGGUUAUCUGGUUUAAGUUAAAAAUUAUAUAUUUUUGUAUGAUUAAUGUUAUUAUGCAAAGUCAUAGGGUUGUUUCUCUGGGAUAAGCUAGGGAAUAUUUUUUAUAUAAAUAUAAACACAGAAGGAGGUUUAAAAUUUACUUUUUUUGUAAUAGAAAAUUUUUAUGUAUUUGUUUGUAAAAGUUUUAGAUUUUUCAGUUAAUUUUAAAUUGUAAGAAUUUAUGUUGAGAUUAGUAUAAUUGUUAAAUUAGAUUAAGGUUAAAGUUAUGAUUAAGGAGUUUAAAAAUAAAAAAGAACUCGGCAAAGAAUUUUUUGGAAUGUUUAUCAAAAACAUUGUAUCUUGAUAUUAUAAGAUAUAAAACCUGCUCAAUGAUGUGUUAAAUUGCUGUGGUAUUAUGACUAUACGAAGGUAUUGAAAUAAGACUUUAAUUGGGUGCUAAGAGAAUGGUUUAACAAAAAAAGGCUUUUUUUUUAUUUAUAUUAGAAGUUAAUUUAAAAAUGAAAAAGUUUUUAUAAAUUUUUAGGACAAGAAGACCCUAUGAAUUUUUUCAAAGACCUUUCUUGUUUGGAUCUUUGAAAAAAUUCAAGAAAGGUUUUUGAUUAAUUGGGGUGAUUUUUAAAUUUUAAAAAACUUUAGAAGUGUAUUACUAGAUCCAAUAUUAUUGAUGGUUUAAAAAAAAUACUCUAGGGAUAACAGCGUUAUUACUUUGGAUAGUUCAUAUAGAUAAAGUAGAUUGCGACCUCGAUGUUGGAUUAGGAUACCUUUAUUAAUGAAGAAGUUAUAAAAGGAGGUUUGCUCAACCUUCAAAUUCCUACAUGAUCUGAGUUCAGACCGGCGUAAGCCAGGUUGGUUUCUAUCUAAAUUUAAGUUUAGGUUCUUUUAGUACGAAAGGAAUAAGGAAUUGGAAUUGUUUUGUUAAGUUAUGGGUAUUUUGAUGUUAAUA